RNAcentral lists this ribosomal RNA (154 nucleotides) under uncultured bacterium. Its description in RNAcentral is "partial 16S ribosomal RNA". It matches the Rfam family "Bacterial small subunit ribosomal RNA", at positions 1347 to 1500 of the family's 1533-position model. The record is from RNAcentral.
GAUCAGAAUGCUGCGGUGAAUACGUUCCCGGGUCUUGUACACACCGCCCGUCACACCAUGGGAGUUGGAAAUGCCCGAAGUCAGUGACCGAACCGAAAGGAAGGAGCUGCCGAAGGUGGAGCCGAUGACUGGGGUGAAGUCGUAACAAGGUAAC